This 510-nucleotide ribosomal RNA is filed under the name uncultured bacterium. RNAcentral describes it as "partial 16S ribosomal RNA". It matches the Rfam family "Bacterial small subunit ribosomal RNA", at positions 28 to 507 of the family's 1533-position model. The record is from RNAcentral.
GACGAGCGCUGGCGGCGUGCUUAACACAUGCAAGUCGAACGAAGAGCGAUGGAAGCUUGCUUCUAUCAAUCUUAGUGGCGAACGGGUGAGUAACGCGUAAUCAACCUGCCCUUCAGAGGGGGACAACAGUUGGAAACGACUGCUAAUACCGCAUACGAUCUGACCUCGGCAUCGAGGAUAGAUGAAAGGUGGCCUCUACAUGUAAGCUAUCACUGAAGGAGGGGAUUGCGUCUGAUUAGCUAGUUGGAGGGGUAACGGCCCACCAAGGCGAUGAUCAGUAGCCGGUCUGAGAGGAUGAACGGCCACAUUGGGACUGAGACACGGCCCAGACUCCUACGGGAGGCAGCAGUGGGGAAUCUUCCGCAAUGGACGAAAGUCUGACGGAGCAACGCCGCGUGAGUGAUGACGGCCUUCGGGUUGUAAAGCUCUGUUAAUCGGGACGAAAGGCCUUUUUGCGAAUAGUGAGAAGGAUUGACGGUACCGGAAUAGAAAGCCACGGCUAACUACGUG